GACGAACGCUGGCGGCGUGCUUAACACAUGCAAGUCGAGCAGAAAGGCCCUUUCGGGGGUACUCGAGCGGCGAACGGGUGAGUAACACGUGAGUAAUCUGCCCUUCACUUGGGGAUAACUACCGGAAACGGUGGCUAAUACCCGAUAUGACCAAUCACUGCAUGGUGUGUUGGUGGAAAGUUUUUUCGGUGGAGGAUGUGCUCGCGGCCUAUCAGCUUGUUGGUGGGGUAAUGGCCUACCAAGGCUUCGGCGGGUAGCCGGCAUGAGAGGGUGACCGGCCACACUGGGACUGAGACACGGCCCAGACUCCUACGGGAGGCAGCAGUGGGGAAUAUUGGACAAUGGGCGAAAGCCUGAUCCAGCGACGCCGCGUGAGGGAUGACGGCCUUCGGGUUGUAAACCUCUUUCAGCGGGGACGAAGCGCCGGUAAUGGUGGUGACGGUACCCGCAGAAGAAGCACCGGCCAACUACGUGCCAGCAGCAGCCGCAG
RNAcentral lists this ribosomal RNA (490 nucleotides) under uncultured bacterium. Its description in RNAcentral is "partial 16S ribosomal RNA". It matches the Rfam family "Bacterial small subunit ribosomal RNA", at positions 28 to 523 of the family's 1533-position model. The record is from RNAcentral.